AGCAGUCGCCACGGUAAUCCGUAGGUGGCAAGCGUUGUCCGGAAUUAUUGGGCGUAAAGGGCUCGCAGGCGGUUUCUUAAGUCUGAUGUGAAAGCCCCCGGCUCAACCGGGGAGGGUCAUUGGAAACUGGGAAACUUGAGUGCAGAAGAGGAGAGUGGAAUUCCACGUGUAGCGGUGAAAUGCGUAGAGAUGUGGAGGAACACCAGUGGCGAAGGCGACUCUCUGGUCUGUAACUGACGCUGAAGAGCGAAAGCGUGGGGAACGAACAGGAUUAGAUACCCCCGUAGUCCCUGUCUCUUAUAC
RNAcentral lists this ribosomal RNA (303 nucleotides) under uncultured bacterium. RNAcentral's name for it is "partial 16S ribosomal RNA". It matches the Rfam family "Bacterial small subunit ribosomal RNA", at positions 507 to 807 of the family's 1533-position model. The record is from RNAcentral.